Molecule: ribosomal RNA, 253 nt
Filed under: uncultured bacterium
Lineage: Bacteria
Description: partial 16S ribosomal RNA
Rfam family: Bacterial small subunit ribosomal RNA
Source: RNAcentral
UACAUAGGUCCCAAGCGUUGUUCGGAUUCACUGGGCGUAAAGGGUGCGUAGGCGGUGGGGUAAGUCGGAUGUGAAAGCUCGGAGCUCAACUCCGAAAUGGCAUUGGAAACUACCCUGCUAGAGGAUUGGAGGGGGGACUGGAAUACUUGGUGUAGCAGUGAAAUGCGCAGAUAUCAGGAGGAACACCGGUGGCGAAGGCGGCCCUCUGGACGGAUACUGACGCUGAGGCGCGAAAGCGUGGGGAUCAAACAGG